This 253-nucleotide ribosomal RNA is filed under the name uncultured bacterium. RNAcentral describes it as "partial 16S ribosomal RNA". It matches the Rfam family "Bacterial small subunit ribosomal RNA", at positions 524 to 776 of the family's 1533-position model. The record is from RNAcentral.
UACGGAGGGUGCAAGCGUUAAUCGGAAUUACUGGGCGUAAAGCGCACGCAGGCGGUUUGUUAAGUCAGAUGUGAAAUCCCCGGGCUCAACCUGGGAACUGCAUCUGAUACUGGGAAGCUUGAGUCUCGUAGAGGGGGGUAGAAUUCCAGGUGUAGCGGUAAAAUGCGUAGAGAUCUGGAGGAAUACCGGUUGCGAAGGCGAUCCCCUGGACCAAGACUGACGCUCAGGUGCGAAAGCGUGGGGAGCAAACAGG